Molecule: ribosomal RNA, 399 nt
Filed under: Triticum aestivum (bread wheat)
Lineage: Eukaryota; Viridiplantae; Streptophyta; Magnoliopsida; Poales; Poaceae
Description: partial small subunit ribosomal RNA
Source: RNAcentral
GUUUAUUGCAUUGCCUUCAAAAGACUCACUAGGGAUCGUGCGCUUUGUUUGAUUUUCACUGCAGAUGUCAAUGAAUGUGCGCAGAGUCCAGGCUCCUGCCAUGGCUCUGCAACUUGCCACAACACAGUUGGAGGGUUCCAUUGUUCAUGCCCUUUUGUCACCAGUUUUGCUAAGGAAACAAACUCAUGCGCCAAUCGGUUUAUAAGUCAGGAGUUGAGCAGGGCACAAUCUGUGGCACGACCGCAUUCUCCUACUCAUUUGUCUCAAAGCAAAAGAAGCUCGCUGCCUUUGCCUGGAGAGAGCAGAAGUUUCUUUUAUCUAAUCCAAGAUGAUCUAUUCAUGAUUAAAACAGCGAGGAAAUCAGAAGUCGAGGUAAUUUUCUUAUUGAUGCCACUGUGA